UUGUUCCUACGGGACGCAGCAGUGAGGAAUAUUGGUCAAUGGGCGCAGGCCUGAACCAGCCAAGUAGCGUGAAGGAUGACUGCCCUAUGGAUUGUAAACUUCUUUUAUAUGGGAAUAAAGUUUUCCACGUGUGGAAUUUUGUAUGUACCAUACGAAUAAGGAUCGGCUAACUCCGUGCCAGCAGCCGCGGUAAUACGGAGGAUCCAAGCGUUAUCCGGAUUUAUUGGGUUUAAAGGGAGCGUAGGUGGACAGUUAAGUCAGUUGUGAAAGUUUGCGGCUCAAC
RNAcentral lists this ribosomal RNA (283 nucleotides) under uncultured bacterium. Its description in RNAcentral is "partial 16S ribosomal RNA". It matches the Rfam family "Bacterial small subunit ribosomal RNA", at positions 333 to 613 of the family's 1533-position model. The record is from RNAcentral.